CAUUGUUACUUGCUUCAUGAUUAUCAUUUCAUUGUGAUUCCACAACAAGUAAUUGGGGCAACCAUCAAGCAUCACAUUUGCCAAAAAAAUGGGUCUAAUGGAAACUGCCUUUGUGUGACAGAAUUUGAUGUGGAGGUUGUGGGGCCUGCCUAAUUUUGUAGGAUCUCAUUCCUAAAUGGAUACUAUAUAGGAAGUUAUCAUUUUGAAGACUAUGGAGCUGUUCAAAUUUUUUUUUUU
Molecule: long non-coding RNA, 237 nt
Organism: Magnolia sinica
Lineage: Eukaryota; Viridiplantae; Streptophyta; Magnoliopsida; Magnoliales; Magnoliaceae
Exons: 3
Source: RefSeq, a predicted model, not a curated record